UAAGCAUAUCAAUAAGCGGAGGAAAAGAAACCAACAGGGAUUGCCUUAGUAACUGCGAGUGAAGCGGCAAAAGCUCAAAUUUGAAAUCUGGUACCAUUCGGUGCUCGAGUUGUAAUUUGGAGAGGCAACUUCGGAGAGGGCGUUGGCCUAAGUUCCUUGGAACAGGACGUCAUAGAGGGUGAGAAUCCCGUGCUUGGCUGACUGUCCCUCUUCAUGUGAAGUGUCUUCGACGAGUCGAGUUGUUUGGGAAUGCAGCUCAAAAUGGGUGGUAAACUCCAUCUAAGGCUAAAUAUUGGCGAGAGACCGAUAGCGCACAAGUAGAGUGAUCGAAAGAUGAAAAGCACUUUGAAAAGAGAGUUAAAAAGUACGUGAAAUUGUUGAAAGGGAAGCGCUUGAGACCAGACUCGGUGAUAGGUGAUCAGCGGUUGCUUUUGCUCCGUGCACUUGCCUUUUACCGGGCCAGCAUCAGUUACAGCGGUGGGAUAAAGACUCAGGGAAUGUGGCUCCCCUCGGGGAGUGUUAUAGCCCUGGGUGUAAUGCCACCUGUUGUGACUGAGGACCGCGCUUCGGCUAGGAUGCUGGCAUAAUGGUCUUCAGCGACCCGUCUUGAAACACGGACCAAGGAGUCUAACAUCUAUGCGAGUGUUCGGGUGUAAAACCCCUACGCGGAAUGAAAGUGAACGGAGGUGGGAACCUUUUAGGUGCACCAUCGACCGAUCCUGAUGUUUACGGAUGGAUUUGAGUAGGAGCAUAGCUGUUGGGACCCGAAAGAUGGUGAACUAUGCCUGAAUAGGGUGAAGCCAGAGGAAACUCUGGUGGAGGCUCGCAGCGGUUCUGACGU
RNAcentral lists this ribosomal RNA (841 nucleotides) under Pseudoplectania nigrella. Its description in RNAcentral is "eukaryotic LSU rRNA". It matches the Rfam family "Eukaryotic large subunit ribosomal RNA", at positions 35 to 892 of the family's 3401-position model. The record is from RNAcentral. Lineage: Eukaryota; Fungi; Ascomycota; Pezizomycetes; Pezizales; Sarcosomataceae.